This 120-nucleotide microRNA precursor is filed under the name Chlorocebus sabaeus (green monkey). RNAcentral's name for it is "miRNA (ENSCSAG00000024410.1)". The stretch from base 14 to 102 matches the Rfam family "mir-515 microRNA precursor family". Lineage: Eukaryota; Metazoa; Chordata; Mammalia; Primates; Cercopithecidae. The record is from RNAcentral.
UGGAGCAAGAAGAUUUCAGGCUGUGACCCUCUUGAGGGAAGCACUUUCUGUUGUCUGAAAAAAAAAAGAAAGUGCUUCCUUUUAGAGGCUUACGGUCUGAGAAAAGCAACGGUGAAGUUG